AACGAAUGAUGGCGGAAGGCCUAACACAUGCAAGUCGAACGAGACCUUCGGGUCUAGUGGCGCACGGGUGCGUAACGCGUGGGAACCUGCCCUUAGGUUCGGAAUAACUCCCCGAAAGGGGUGCUAAUACCGGAUAAUGUCUUCGGACCAAAGAUUUAUCGCCUUUGGAUGGGCCCGCGUUGGAUUAGCUAGUUGGUAGGGUAAAAGCCUACCAAGGCGACGAUCCAUAGCUGGUCUGAGAGGAUGAUCAGCCACACUGGGACUGAGACACGGCCCAGACUCCUACGGGAGGCAGCAGUGGGGAAUAUUGGACAAUGGGCGAAAGCCUGAUCCAGCAAUGCCGCGUGAGUGAUGAAGGCCUUAGGGUUGUAAAGCUCUUUUACCCGGGAUGAUAAUGACAGUACCGGGAGAAUAAGCUCCGGCUAACUCCGUG
Molecule: ribosomal RNA, 433 nt
Filed under: uncultured bacterium
Lineage: Bacteria
Description: partial 16S ribosomal RNA
Rfam family: Bacterial small subunit ribosomal RNA
Source: RNAcentral